This 166-nucleotide ribosomal RNA is filed under the name Roccellaceae sp. RNAcentral describes it as "partial large subunit ribosomal RNA". It matches the Rfam family "Eukaryotic large subunit ribosomal RNA", at positions 99 to 260 of the family's 3401-position model. Lineage: Eukaryota; Fungi; Ascomycota; Arthoniomycetes; Arthoniales; Roccellaceae. The record is from RNAcentral.
CGGCAACAGCUCAAAUUUGAAAUCUGGCCCCGUCCGGGGUCCGAGUUGUAAUUUGGAGAGGACGCUUCGGCGUCGGCCCCGGGCCAAGUUCCCUGGAACAGGACGUCGGAGAGGGUGAGAGCCCCGUACCCGUCCGGACCGCCGGCGCCGUGUGAAGCUCCUUCGA